UACUGGGAACCACUGCUAUAGAGCAUAUGGUAGUUUUUCGUUUUUCGCCCGAGUCGUCGCGAUAGUAGUGAAAGCGAAACGUUUUUUGUUUUAUACAAAUACUAUAGCUGUCCCCACGGUUUUGCUCGUGCAUUAUAUUUAAAGAAAAAAAAAAAUAAACAGAUAAAAACGUGUCUUCCCGUAUUACCCCGUCACUCACCGUUUC
Cinara cedri is the source of this 205-nucleotide non-coding RNA. The record is from the annotation of a GenBank genome assembly. Lineage: Eukaryota; Metazoa; Arthropoda; Insecta; Hemiptera; Aphididae.